This 497-nucleotide ribosomal RNA is filed under the name uncultured bacterium. Its description in RNAcentral is "partial 16S ribosomal RNA". It matches the Rfam family "Bacterial small subunit ribosomal RNA", at positions 28 to 507 of the family's 1533-position model. The record is from RNAcentral.
GAUGAACGCUGGCGGCGUGCCUAAUACAUGCGAGUCGAGCGAACAGAUGAGGAGCUUGCUCCUCUGACGUUAGCGGCGGACGGGUGAGUAACACGUGGAUAACCUACCUAUAAGACUGGGAUAACUUCGGGAAACCGGAGCUAAUACCGGAUAAUAUAUUGAACCGCAUGGUUCAAUAGUGAAAGACGGUUUUGCUGUCACUUAUAGAUGGAUCCGCGCCGCAUUAGCUAGUUGGUAAGGUAACGGCUUACCAAGGCAACGAUGCGUAGCCGACCUGAGAGGGUGAUCGGCCACACUGGAACUGAGACACGGUCCAGACUCCUACGGGAGGCAGCAGUAGGGAAUCUUCCGCAAUGGGCGAAAGCUUGACGGAGCAACGCCGCGUGAGUGAUGAAGGUCUUCGGAUCGUAAAACUCUGUUAUUAGGGAAGAACAAAUGUGUAAGUAACUAUGCACGUCUUGACGGUACCUAAUCAGAAAGCCACGGCUAACUACGUG